GGAAAACGCUGUAAUGGGUUCGUGGUGUUUGCGGCUGCUGAUUAUUAUUCUACUCUUGGUGUUCCUAAAUCUGCCACCAUUAAAGAUAUUAAAGCCGCUUAUCGCAAAUUGGGUCGUCAGGAGCUGAACAUGAAAGGAGCCAAACAAGAAUGCAGGCCUUUGAUGAACAACUUAGAAACUUUAUGUUUCAGGUCGGACCUGUGAGCACGUUUAGCUAUAGAAACGCCGUGUUUUUGUGGGUAUGGAAGAAGAGAGAGUAGGAGGAAGUCAGUUUGUGGUUGUAUUGUAAGGAAGAAUUAGAGGUCUGCAUCAAAAAUCUGAAAACUUCUCAUUUCUAAAGAAAAUGAUGUUAAAAAGUAUGUCAAUACAUAUCGAAGUACGAGUACAAACAAAGUUUGUGGUAAGAUUUUCUAGAUCCUUUAUAGAAUGCAUGUGUUAUACUGUUGUUGAAUGGUUUCUGUUCUUUUGUAUAGGACCCUAAACAUGGACAUUGGUGGCUGCAAUUUGCAUCCGGUGUGCUA
Long non-coding RNA from Helianthus annuus (common sunflower), 521 nucleotides. RefSeq lists it as uncharacterized. The record is from RefSeq and is a predicted model, not a curated record. The transcript has 3 exons. NCBI's taxonomy places the organism in Eukaryota, Viridiplantae, Streptophyta, Magnoliopsida, Asterales, Asteraceae.